RNAcentral lists this ribosomal RNA (387 nucleotides) under Cottus bairdii (mottled sculpin). Its description in RNAcentral is "partial small subunit ribosomal RNA". It matches the Rfam family "Bacterial small subunit ribosomal RNA", at positions 794 to 1384 of the family's 1533-position model. Lineage: Eukaryota; Metazoa; Chordata; Actinopteri; Perciformes; Cottidae. The record is from RNAcentral. RNAcentral also lists the same sequence under 1 other name.
GCCUAGCCCUAAACAUCGAUAGUACCAUACACCCACUAUCCGCCCGGGUACUACGAGCAAUAGCUUAAAACCCAAAGGACUUGGCGGUGCUUUAGAUCCACCUAGAGGAGCCUGUUCUAAAACCGAUAACCCCCGUUCAACCUCACCCUUCCUUGUUUUACCCGCCUAUAUACCGCCGUCGUCAGCUUACCCUGUGAGGGACUAAUAGUAAGCAGAACUGGUACAACCUAAAACGUCAGGUCGAGGUGUAGCGUAUGGAGGGGGAAGAAAUGGGCUACAUUCGCUACCACAGCGAACACGAAUGAUGCACUGAAACACACAUCUGAAGGAGGAUUUAGCAGUAAGCUGGAAAUAGAGCGUCCCACUGAAACUGGCCCUGAAGCGCGC